Molecule: non-coding RNA, 124 nt
Organism: Triticum aestivum (bread wheat)
Lineage: Eukaryota; Viridiplantae; Streptophyta; Magnoliopsida; Poales; Poaceae
Source: Rfam
CAAGUACUCCCUCCGUCCGAAAAUACUUGUCCUAGAAAUAGUUGUAUUUAGACUUGUUUUAGUUAUAGAUACAUUCAUUUCAUUCAUUUCUAGGACAAGUAUUUCCGGACAGAGGGAGUAUAGU